The sequence is a transfer RNA, 73 nucleotides long. It matches the Rfam family "tRNA". From Rfam's summary of the family: Transfer RNA (tRNA) molecules are approximately 80 nucleotides in length. Their secondary structure includes four short double-helical elements and three loops (D, anti-codon, and T loops).
CCGUCCAUAGCUCAGCUGGUAGAGCACCUGCCUUUUAAGCAGAGGGUCGCAGGUUCGAGUCCUGCUGGACGGA